Long non-coding RNA from Rattus norvegicus (Norway rat), 2202 nucleotides. RefSeq lists it as uncharacterized. The record is from RefSeq and is a predicted model, not a curated record. Lineage: Eukaryota; Metazoa; Chordata; Mammalia; Rodentia; Muridae.
UAUUUAUAAUCUUCAAAUUCUCACGUUUCAAACCUGUGCUCUCGUUUGUGUGGCUGGAUAUCUAGAAAAUGUACCUGCUUGUGACUGUAAAAAUUAUAUUACUAGACUCAACGAAAAAUGAAACGUUAUUGUAGUUAGUGAAAAUAUUAGUGACUCAGGCCCAAUAAGUAUAAUCAGCAAUAUGUUAUAAUCAAUUUUAUAUCAUAAGGGUUUCCCUCCAAUAGCUCACAGCUCAGUGAGAAAUACCAUCAAAGACAGACAUAAAUGCUCGUUUUUCUGGUUAAUAUAACAGAGUAUCAGCAAGAGGAUGCAGGAGAGUUGGCCUCUCACGGACAUUAACAGCUACUGAUACUCAAUGUCUACACAUUUCAACUCAAGGGAUAUAAAACAGUAACAUUCAGCAGGCUGAAGCAUAAGAUCAAGCCUCAGAGGCUCUCCCUGUUUACUCUGCAAAGAAACUGACAGGGAGCAUGGGCUGGGUGGGGUUCAGAGUGGAGCAUGCGCUGUGUGAGUCCAGAGUGGAGCAUGCGCUGUGUGAGUCCAGAGAGGAGCAUGCGCUGUGUGUGUCUAGUGCACAUGCUCACUGUACUUGACUUCAACCAACCAUGACAACAGCCCUGGGCAGGAGGCUCUUCAAUUAGCAUGAUGUGACAGAAGACACAGACAUCAAAUCACUUGUCUAAAGGGGCAAUGGUCACUGCAGAACCAAAGGCAGCAAAGUCUCUCUGCAGACGCAUGCUCCCACGAUGUGUGCCUCCUGUGUAUCUGUAUGGGAGCAUGUGCACAUUGAGUGCAGGUACCCAAGGAGGCCAGAAGAGGGCGCUGGAUCCCUGAAGCUAGAGUCACAGACUGUUGUGAGCUAUACAAUAUGGAUGCUGGGAACCAAACUUGGAUCUUCUGCAAAUACAGCAAGGGCUCCUGAUCACCAAACCACUCCAUCCCCCACUCUCCUGUGACCCCCCCCACUCUCCUGUGGGUGUCAUUUACUUCCAAAGUUUGUAUUCACCUUUUAUUGGCCUGGGGCACGCUACUGAAGGACAUGGAAUGAACCAAUUGGUAAAUGACGGCUUAUGUUCUUCAAGACUGCAUGAUGGAUUUGGAGGUUAAAUUAUUACAAAUUCUCAGGUGACGAGGUGGAAUUGGGCAUAAAUUGAUGGAAAGAAAAAAGCAUUUGAAGUUCAAUUUUGGUUUUAUUACCUAGGAGCUUUUUAUCCUGCAAGUUAGGACAAAAAAAAAAAAAAGAAAGAAAGAAAAAGAAAAAGAAAAAGAAAAAGAAAAAGAAAACCUUUCUUCCAUCCAGUGUGGCAAGGUAGCAUUCAAUUUGGUAGGUCAGCAUUCAGGGACCAGCACUAGAAUUCUCACCAUCUGGUGUGUGGCUGUGCUUAAGUAUGAAUCAUUAUAUAUAUGAAACAUCUCAGAUAUUUUAAUAUUUUAUAUAAACUGCAUUAUUCUGAGUACCUAGUGUUAAAUAUUUAGUAGCAGAUUUUCUCAUUGUCAGCACCUAAUUAUUUUUCUGAUAUCUAACAUUUUUAUAUUAACUAUCGACUCACUUCCAAAAAUGCCAAGAACAAUCCCCGUGGUUAUAAAUGAACAUCAAGAAACACAUCUGAAGUACUCUUGCAUAGUGCAGCCUGGAGUAAUUGGUUAUCCUUCACUAACCGACCAGAUUUUGUCUGUAAUUUUUACUGAUCUAAAUUGUAGUGGAUACAUGAAUGUCACUAGAAAAAUUCAAAGACUGACUUCUGAGAUGGCUGAUUUAGCGGUCAUGUUCACCCAACUGGGAGGUGAGAACUUCACCUGAGGAAUUGUCUCCAUGAGAGACCGGCCUGUGAGGGUGUCUUUGGGGCCUUUCCUUUAUUGCUAAUUAUCAUGGGAGGGCCCAGCCCACUCUGGUGAUCCUGAGCUGUAUUUGAAAGUUAUUUGAGAAGAAAAGAAAGAGGUAAAGGAGGGGAGAGUAGGGAAGAGAAAGAGAGAAGACAGGAGAGAGAACUGGUCACCAAGUAGCUUUCCUCCAUGGUUCCUGCCUCUGCUCCUGCCCUGCCUUCCUUCGGAGACAGACCCAGCAUCUAAGUCAAAACAGCCUUUCCUCCCCGGGUUGCUUUUGGUCAGUGUCUUUCAUCAGAGCAACAGUAAAGUAAGCUAAGACGGCUUCUUCCAAUUUUGGAGCAACUGCCGCACCUAGAUUAAAAUAUAUCGGAGUAA